Long non-coding RNA from Amphimedon queenslandica, 1166 nucleotides. RefSeq lists it as uncharacterized. The record is from RefSeq and is a predicted model, not a curated record. The transcript has 4 exons. NCBI's taxonomy places the organism in Eukaryota, Metazoa, Porifera, Demospongiae, Haplosclerida, Niphatidae.
ACGGGAUCACGUGAGCGCAUCAUUUGUGUAUAAAAACUUUUUGCAGUCUCUGUUAUGAUUUUCAAGAUGGCGACUGUCAAUGUCUGGAGUAUGAAGUUGCUCUUUUCUCUUUUAAAAAUGUAUUUAGCUUUAUGAAAAAAUCUACUGCAAAGUUAUAAUGGCGGCUUCAAGGUUCUGAUAGGUUAUUGUAAGUUAAUAUUUGUUUUAAAUUGUUUAAAUCUUCAAUUUACGGCUAAAAUUCCAUUUGCGUACCUCUGUAGCCCAAAUAUUUGUUUCUAUGAAUGUGUUUUUGUCAUGAAAUGUUGCUACUUACUUUAUUACAUUGUUUAUGCAGCUUUUCUUGUUUCUCCAGAGUGUUCUUCAGGAAAUAUUCAAGAAUAACCAGUUUGCCAUGGUACGACUUUUGCGUACCUCUCAGGAGAAUAGACUACAUUCUAUUGCUAUGAAACUACAAUAAAGAGGCCCUUUACAUGUUUUUACAUUGUUUAAAGUUGUUUUUGAAUUUUUCCUGUUGCUGGUUUUUUAGUUAUAACAAUUUACAUUCAGCCAUUUUGCUAAGAUGCCAUUGAUUGCUGCCAUUAAUUUAAUGAAUAAUAACAGAGUCUGAUAAUUGAUUUCCGGUCCGUAACCAAUCCCGGUUACGUUAGUCUAUUAUAUCCCUGAUUGCAUACAUAAUACAGCUGCUCCAGUACUUAAACCGGUUUGAUUAUCUCAAACCACCUCCUGAGGUGACCGCUUUAAGGGCAUAGUGUAAACGGGGCUUAGGUCACAGAUACUGUCACAGAAUCUCUCAAAGAGUCUUGCACUUGUUUGGUCAAAAGGAAGGAGACCUUCUGUUGUUGAUGAGAAGAAUAAAAGCAUAUCUACAGGUUGUUAUACCAUACAGACACACUGAGGGAUCAGAUAUUUCUUACUCUGUACCUCUCUUAAAACAAUGGAUAACAAUAUUAAAAGCAAUGGCAGAGCGUAGCCCUAACCUACCCACUCUCAUAUCGACAUACUUACAAUCUGAAGUUAUUGAUUCAGACUGAUAUGUACAUACACAAUGCAUCUUGUUCUCUUUUUUUAUUAAUUUAUGUGAUUAUAGCUGUCUUGAUUUUACCACGUGUGAAAUGAUUUAUUUAUUUUUAAAAAGUUAAUUGAGCCAAAUUUUCUUCAUAAAAUGA